UCAGACACAGAGGACGCUGCUCCUGCUCCUGCUCCUGCCCCUGUCCCUGCCGCUGGCCCUUCCUGUGUACCUGUUCCUGAGGCUGGCCCUGCCCCAAGACCACAGAGCGGGACGAAGAGGAAGAGAGCCAGGGUACCGGAGGGAAACACAAAUAUACAGACAGCCAUCCUCCAGGCCCUGCAGAGGCAAAAUGCUGUGCCUACCCCUACCCCGCUCUCUGGGAAUGAGCACUUUGUCAUGGGCCUAGUUCCUUCCCUGGAUAGAAUGCCACCUGAAGUACUGGAGUACGUUAAAUUCCAAAUUCGUAAGGUCAUAUUUGACAAUUCUAAUUUCACCCUUAAUUUGGAACCUGUUUAAGCUUAUUAGCUAGUGGUGGUGACAAUCUCUCCAGGGAAAGAACUAGGCUGAUGUCACUGUUAACUGUUCAUUUGUUAUUGUUCCGUUAUGUUUAUAUUAUAUUGUUCUUAUGUUAUUUUUAUUAUUUAUAUAAUUAUUUUUUAAAUAAAAUAUUUCUCACAA
This is a long non-coding RNA of Gadus macrocephalus (Pacific cod), 519 nucleotides long. RefSeq lists it as uncharacterized. The transcript is spliced from 2 exons. Lineage: Eukaryota; Metazoa; Chordata; Actinopteri; Gadiformes; Gadidae. The record is from RefSeq and is a predicted model, not a curated record.